AUCUACAAAGUUUCUGUAAAACAUAAAUGUAGAAAAACAUUUAUGUGAAUUUGCAUUUAAAAUUUCGUGCGCAGGUCGCAUUUUGCGGCUUCGGAUAGUAUCGGAAUAUAAAUACUUUUCCUUGCGCGAACUUCGCGCCGCGAAGAAACAAAAACUGAGCGUCAGCGCGCGUGUGUUAGUAGUACUGCCCGGCAACAACGUGUGUCUGAGCGCGGUGUGACACAAGUCUGUACAUGCUGUUAACGGUUUCGUGAGUUUGAUUGUUCGAUCAUUCAACGCUUUAUCAAUUAUAUAGGAUAAGAAGGAAAGAAGGUAAGAAAAAAUAUACUACUUUCAUACACUUAAAAUAAGUCGUGUACAUAAACAUACACAACCUUUUCAAUGUCAUACACAAAGGUUAUGUUGUAUAAUACGUCGUAUGUAUAAAAAUGUUUUUCCGUAGAUGAAUAGUGAGAAAGAAAUGAAUGAGCUGUAUGCGAUCGUGCGAUUUGAUGAUGGGACUUCAAACUCGCAAAAAUUAAUUGAUUUGAUCCCAUCCUCCUGGAUUUACGAAGUUGAAGGAAAAGGAUAUUUUUGCUCGUACCCAGAUUCAACAGACUAUUGUUAUUUAGAUAAUUGGCUUUCUACAUUAGAAAGUGCAGAAACAUGUUGGGAUUCUUAUGCAAUAACUAUUAUUGCAUAUGCGAGUAAAUUAUGAUAUUUAUUAAUAAUUUGACCAAUUCACCUAAUUUAAUCUUAUUAUUUAAUCUAAUUACUUCAAUUUUUCUUAUUUAUUAAUUAGAAGAUUUAAAACAAGGAAAACGAAGAUUGAGGCGCGCUCUAAAGACAGAUAAUAUAAAAAUUAGCGACGAUAACACAUGUUCUAAUAAUAAUGACAAAUCAGUCAUGAUAUUGUCUAAAGAUUUAUUAGAGGAACAUUUAAAUGUAAUACAGCCUUUGUUUUUAAAUAAUGACCCUUCUUCGAUAAGUUUAUCAAAUUCCAACAGUUCGCAGAUUUCUACACUAAAAGGAAAAAGAAAAAAUAUAUAAAAUUAUUUAUUAUAUUUUAAGUUUUUUUCGUAUUGCACUGAUAUACAGUGCUAUUUCUACAUGAAAAUAUUUCUUAUUUAUACACUUUAUCUACAGGCAAUGUAUUACCGUCAACAUCGGUCUCAGAUUAUAUUGCAGAUAAUGUAUUUUCUUCAACACCGAUUACACUGCUUCCUGUUAUAAAUAAAGAACCGACAACACAAAUUUUGAAUGUACAACCGAGUAAACAUUAAAAAUUAUAUUACAUAUAUUAAAGCCAGUUUCAUUUUCUUAUAUUUUAUUAAUACUUUUAUCAAUUAUUUUCAGGUUCAGAAAAUAUAUUAAAUCAUAUUGACCAAAAAUUUCAACAAUUGCAGGAUGAAUUUACAAGUCACAUUUCAUCUGUUAAAAGAAGAAUUUUAUAUGAUUUAAAAAAGAAAAUAACUGAAGUAAAACAUACAAUAAUCAUUAAUUGCCAAUCGGUCACUGCUUCACAAAAGAGUAUUGAAAAUUUAAAAGAAGGUUUACAAAUUGCUCUACCAACAGUUUCUUUAAACCAUUUUUUAGAGUUGGAAACUUUAUUAAAAGAUUCUUCAGAAAAGAAGGAAGUAUUGAUGGCUUUGUUCCGUGUACUUAUUGCGGUUGAAUCAGACGUAAAAGAAAGCAUUGCUAAAAUUAUGAGUGCAUUAAUGACAAAAGCGGUAGAACUACUAUAUUCAGGAACUGGAAGAGUGGUAAAUGGACAAUGUAAAAGAAAUUUUAAUGAGACUAACUCGUACAUGUGUUUAAGAGAUGUUUUAAUAGGAAAAUUCCAAAACGCUAUAGAUGUGAAGAAACUGCCAGGUCGGAUAGGCAUAUGAUUAUCACAAGUUGGAGACCGCGAAGGAGGUAAAAAAGCGCGAGCUCAAAAUACUGAAAAUCACUAGGAACAACCAUCAUAUUGAACGUACAUCUAUUUCUACCACAUCCGCCAAUUUGACGAGUAUUUAAAAAAACGCUUUAUUUUUAUUGUCUGUUUCCUGUAACGGACCAAAGUGGUCUAAAUGAAGUACUUUAAGCGGUUCGUUUGGCGUCGGAAAUAAUUGUAUUUCAUUUUCAAAACGAUGAAUCGAAUUGUUAGCCAUUAUACAGAACCACAGUGACCCAUGUCAUCAUGAUGAGCUCGAAUAACACUAGGUAUCAUAGACUCAGGAUUUUCUGGUCUGCUAGCUGUCGAAACUCAAGUUCUCUUUCGAGUGGAAGUUGAUUUACAAAAGCUACGCAGCGACUUAGCGCAUCUACAUGUGUCAUACGACUUCCCGGACGACUCCCGUCAACAAACAAUAGAAGCUGCGAAAAUAGGUUUACCGUUUUGCGAUCAUUUCUAGAGGUCGGUCGAUAUAUCAAAACUCGCCUCCACAGUGGCCACCGUUCCUGACGUCUCUGGCUCUGCCUCUACGCUACCCGCCGACGGAACCACCGGACGCUGAGUCGGACACGCUGAUUUCGUCUGUCUGCCCUUCAGCACGGGGCAAUCAAAAGUUCUGUGACCCUUCUGCUUACAAUAAAAACACGAGGCUUCG
Molecule: long non-coding RNA, 2570 nt
Filed under: Ooceraea biroi (clonal raider ant)
Lineage: Eukaryota; Metazoa; Arthropoda; Insecta; Hymenoptera; Formicidae
Description: uncharacterized LOC105286436, transcript variant X3
Source: RNAcentral